RNAcentral lists this unclassified non-coding RNA (295 nucleotides) under uncultured Entoloma. RNAcentral's name for it is "sequence contains ITS2". The stretch from base 1 to 52 matches the Rfam family "5.8S ribosomal RNA", at positions 103 to 154 of the family's 154-position model. Lineage: Eukaryota; Fungi; Basidiomycota; Agaricomycetes; Agaricales; Entolomataceae. The record is from RNAcentral.
AACGCACCUUGCGCUCCUUGGUAUUCCGAGGAGCAUGCCUGUUUGAGUGUCAUGAAAUUCUCAACCUUUCUGGCUUUUGCUAGUCAGGCUUGGAUUAUGGGAGCUGCUGGCUUUUGAAGUCGGCUCUUCUAAAAUGUAUUAGCAAGAUCAUUGCUGCUCAUCAUUGGUAUGAUAAUUAUCUAUAUCAUUGAGAGUCAGUUUCCUUUAUUGGAAGAUUUUGCUCCUAACGGUCUUUAGCAAGACAACAUUUGACAAUUUUGACCUCAAAUCAGGUAGGACUACCCGCUGAACUUAA